UGGCAGACGGGUGAGUAACGCGUGGGAACCUACCUUACGGUCGGGAAUAGCUCAGGGAAACUUGGGGUAAUACCGGAUAAGCCCUUACGGGGAAAGAUUUAUCGCCGUUAGAUGGGCCCGCGUCGGAUUAGCUAGUUGGUGGGGUAAUGGCCUACCAAGGCGACGAUCCGUAGCUGGUCUGAGAGGAUGAUCAGCCACACUGGGACUGAGACACGGCCCAGACUCCUACGGGAGGCAGCAGUGGGGAAUAUUGGACAAUGGGCGCAAGCCUGAUCCAGCCAUGCCGCGUGAGUGACGAAGGCCUUAGGGUUGUAAAGCUCUUUUGGCGGGGAAGAUAAUGACGGUACCCGCAGAAUAAGCUCCGGCUAACUUCGUGCCAGCA
This 382-nucleotide ribosomal RNA is filed under the name uncultured bacterium. RNAcentral describes it as "bacterial SSU rRNA". It matches the Rfam family "Bacterial small subunit ribosomal RNA", at positions 96 to 513 of the family's 1533-position model. The record is from RNAcentral.